RNAcentral lists this ribosomal RNA (601 nucleotides) under Acinetobacter baumannii. RNAcentral's name for it is "bacterial SSU rRNA". It matches the Rfam family "Bacterial small subunit ribosomal RNA", at positions 504 to 1104 of the family's 1533-position model. The record is from RNAcentral. Lineage: Bacteria; Pseudomonadati; Pseudomonadota; Gammaproteobacteria; Moraxellales; Moraxellaceae.
UGUGCCAGCAGCGGCGGUAAUACAGAGGGUGCGAGCGUUAAUCGGAUUUACUGGGCGUAAAGCGUGCGUAGGCGGCUUAUUAAGUCGGAUGUGAAAUCCCCGAGCUUAACUUGGGAAUUGCAUUCGAUACUGGUGAGCUAGAGUAUGGGAGAGGAUGGUAGAAUUCCAGGUGUAGCGGUGAAAUGCGUAGAGAUCUGGAGGAAUACCGAUGGCGAAGGCAGCCAUCUGGCCUAAUACUGACGCUGAGGUACGAAAGCAUGGGGAGCAAACAGGAUUAGAUACCCUGGUAGUCCAUGCCGUAAACGAUGUCUACUAGCCGUUGGGGCCUUUGAGGCUUUAGUGGCGCAGCUAACGCGAUAAGUAGACCGCCUGGGGAGUACGGUCGCAAGACUAAAACUCAAAUGAAUUGACGGGGGCCCGCACAAGCGGUGGAGCAUGUGGUUUAAUUCGAUGCAACGCGAAGAACCUUACCUGGCCUUGACAUACUAGAAACUUUCCAGAGAUGGAUUGGUGCCUUCGGGAAUCUAGAUACAGGUGCUGCAUGGCUGUCGUCAGCUCGUGUCGUGAGAUGUUGGGUUAAGUCCCGCAACGACCGCAACCC